Molecule: unclassified non-coding RNA, 324 nt
Filed under: soil metagenome
Description: partial contains 5.8S ribosomal RNA, internal transcribed spacer 2, and large subunit ribosomal RNA
Rfam family: 5.8S ribosomal RNA (bases 1-120)
Source: RNAcentral
GAUGAAGAACGUAGCGAAAUGCGAUAAGUAAUGUGAAUUGCAGAAUUCAGUGAAUCAUCGAAUCUUUGAACGCACAUUGCGCCCAUUAGUAUUCUAGUGGGCAUGCCUGUUCGAGCGUCAUUUGUACCUUCAAGCUUUGCUUGGUGUUGGGUGUUUGUCCCUCGGGACUCGCCUUAAAGUCAUUGGCAGCCAGUGUUUUGGUUUUGAAGCGCAGCACAAGUCGCGAUUCAAGGCUAUCCGCCCGCUUCCACAAGCCUUUUUCACUUUUGACCUCGGAUCAGGUAGGGAUACCCGCUGAACUUAAGCAUAUCAAUAAGCGGAGGA